GGAAAGCAUUUUUGUUCCUCAGAAAGCAAAAUGAUGACAUCAAAGGCCUUGUUGUCCCCACGGUGGCCCGGUGAGAGAUGGCAGCCCCUCAGCUGGGCUGUGAGUCACGGGAUCAUCAGGUUAGAGCCUGGGGUACGAAGCAGCACCGAACAGGAAAGCUACCUGAGGAUGAAGCCAAUAUAAAGAAAGUCGUACAAGGACAGGUGCUCUCUUUACGUGGACCCACCUGUGCUCUGCACCAACACUGAAAUCCCUCGUAUUUCUGGCAUCUUCUGCAUGGCCGCGAGAUUCAGCCGACUUUCCAGGGUGUUGGAAACCUUUAUUUUCUGAUCGCUGCUGUAGACCUCCACCCCUCCAGCAGCAUUGGAAGGCAAGUGUUCAGUUUGGUCAACCUGUACCUCCAAAUGCUUCUGGCAGAGCCUCAUGUACUGAGGGAUGGCUCUUAGCACCGCAGACUCCACCAGGUGGAGGUCCUGUGGCCGGCAGCGGACAAUCAUCACAGGCUCCAGCAGCCGGAGCAAGGCUUGGAGCACGAGCUUAUCCAGCAGGUCCUGGUAGAUUUCUUCAUCCGACACAAUUCUGCUGAGCCUCAUCUUGGCAUCCUUGAGCAAUUCUAAGAUGAGAUUGUCUC
Molecule: long non-coding RNA, 631 nt
Filed under: Mus musculus (house mouse)
Lineage: Eukaryota; Metazoa; Chordata; Mammalia; Rodentia; Muridae
Description: predicted gene, 50011
Source: RNAcentral